GAAUUCUGUGACGAUGUUGUUGAUUGUUCAGCUUGGCUAUUGUGUGAGCGAUUAUCCCUGAGACAUUGCCGUGAAAUGAAUCGUUUUCUAUUUCGUGUCUGAACCAUUAAGGUCUUUAUGACUGGAACUCUACCUGUGAGGUGCCGCAGGCCUCACGAUGAGUGAUGAAGAGCUGGAGGUGGGGAGAGUUCACGUCAUGUCAUUAUCACCUUUUACCUCAUAUCCAACAGUUUAAUCAGAGGAAGCGAUGCCUUUUCUCCUUGACAUAUAGGUUUUUCAAGAGGACGUGAAAGACACUGUACAAAAGAAGGAUCUUUGGAUGCCAGACAUCAGAGAUCGGAACACCCCAUGGCUUCCAGUCUCUUCCUGAGGCCUUACAGGAUCUGAUGGUCACCAUGGUUCUAUCAACCAUUGAUAUGGCAAAUCAAGAGUGCUUCCAUCAUUUUCUGCUCUGACUGC
This is a long non-coding RNA of Chiloscyllium plagiosum (whitespotted bambooshark), 459 nucleotides long. RefSeq lists it as uncharacterized. NCBI's taxonomy places the organism in Eukaryota, Metazoa, Chordata, Chondrichthyes, Orectolobiformes, Hemiscylliidae. The record is from RefSeq and is a predicted model, not a curated record.